AUUAUACUCCCUCCGUCCGGAAAUACUUGUCUAAAAUAUAAAUGAAUCUAGACUUAUUUUAGUUAUAGAUAUAUCUAUUAUAUUCAUUUUUAAGACAAAUAUUUCCGGACGGAGGGAGCAUAAA
This 124-nucleotide microRNA precursor is filed under the name Hordeum vulgare. RNAcentral describes it as "microRNA MIR1122". It matches the Rfam family "MIR1120/MIR1122 microRNA precursor family". Lineage: Eukaryota; Viridiplantae; Streptophyta; Magnoliopsida; Poales; Poaceae. The record is from RNAcentral.